CCUACGGGGGGCAGCAGUGGGGAAUAUUGCACAAUGGGGGAAACCCUGAUGCAGCGACGCCGCGUGAGUGAAGAAGUAUUUCGGUAUGUAAAGCUCUAUCAGCAGGGAAGAAAUAAAGUCCUUCGGACUUUGGACGGUACCUGACUAAGAAGCCCCGGCUAACUACGUGCCAGCAGCCGCGGUAAUACGUAGGGGGCAAGAGUUAUCCGGAUUUACUUGGUGUAAAGGGAGCGUAGACGGCAGCGCAAGUCUGGAGUGAAAUCCCAUGGCUUAACCAUGGAACUGCUUUGGAAACUGUGCAGCUGGAGUGCAGGAGAGGUAAGCGGAAUUCCUAGUGUAGCGGUGAAAUGCGUAGAUAUUAGGAGGAACACCAGUGGCGAAGGCGGCUUACUGGACUGUAACUGACGUUGAGGCUCGAAAGCGUGGGGAGCAAACAGGAUUAGAUACCCCGGUAGUC
This 457-nucleotide ribosomal RNA is filed under the name uncultured bacterium. RNAcentral's name for it is "partial 16S ribosomal RNA". It matches the Rfam family "Bacterial small subunit ribosomal RNA", at positions 338 to 795 of the family's 1533-position model. The record is from RNAcentral.